Molecule: ribosomal RNA, 778 nt
Filed under: Staphylococcus haemolyticus
Lineage: Bacteria; Bacillati; Bacillota; Bacilli; Caryophanales; Staphylococcaceae
Description: bacterial SSU rRNA
Rfam family: Bacterial small subunit ribosomal RNA
Source: RNAcentral
GCAGUCGAGCGAACAGACAGGAGCUUGCUCCUUUGACGUUAGCGGCGGACGGGUGAGUAACACGUGGGUAACCUACCUAUAAGACUGGGAUAACUUCGGGAAACCGGAGCUAAUACCGGAUAAUAUUUCGAACCGCAGGUUCGAUAGUGAAAGAUGGUUUUGCUAUCACUUAUAGAUGGACCCGCGCCGUAUUAGCUAGUUGGUAAGGUAACGGCUUACCAAGGCGACGAUACGUAGCCGACCUGAGAGGGUGAUCGGCCACACUGGAACUGAGACACGGUCCAGACUCCUACGGGAGGCAGCAGUAGGGAAUCUUCCGCAAUGGGCGAAAGCCUGACGGAGCAACGCCGCGUGAGUGAUGAAGGUCUUCGGAUCGUAAAACUCUGUUAUUAGGGAAGAACAUACGUGUAAGUAACUAUGCACGUCUUGACGGUACCUAAUCAGAAAGCCACGGCUAACUACGUGCCAGCAGCCGCGGUAAUACGUAGGUGGCAAGCGUUAUCCGGAAUUAUUGGGCGUAAAGCGCGCGUAGGCGGUUUUUUAAGUCUGAUGUGAAAGCCCACGGCUCAACCGUGGAGGGUCAUUGGAAACUGGAAAACUUGAGUGCAGAAGAGGAAAGUGGAAUUCCAUGUGUAGCGGUGAAAUGCGCAGAGAUAUGGAGGAACACCAGUGGCGAAGGCGACUUUCUGGUCUGUAACUGACGCUGAUGUGCGAAAGCGUGGGGAUCAAACAGGAUUAGAUACCCUGGUAGUCCACGCCGUAAACGAUGAGUGCUAAG